Molecule: ribosomal RNA, 478 nt
Filed under: uncultured bacterium
Lineage: Bacteria
Description: partial 16S ribosomal RNA
Rfam family: Bacterial small subunit ribosomal RNA
Source: RNAcentral
GACGAACGCUGGCGGCGUGCUUAACACAUGCAAGUCGAACGGUAAGGCCCUUCGGGGUACACGAGUGGCGAACGGGUGAGUAACACGUGGGUGAUCUGCCCUGCACUUCGGGAUAAGCCUGGGAAACUGGGUCUAAUACCGGAUAGGACCACUGCCUGCAUGGGUGGUGGUGGAAAGCUUUUGCGGUGUGGGAUGGGCCCGCGGCCUAUCAGCUUGUUGGUGGGGUGAUGGCCUACCAAGGCGACGACGGGUAGCCGGCCUGAGAGGGUGACCGGCCACACUGGGACUGGGAUACGGCCCAGACUCCUACGGGAGGCAGCAGUGGUGAAUGUUGCACAAUGGGCGCGAGCCUGAUGCAGCGACGCCGCGUGAGGGAUGAUGGCCUUCGGGUUGUAAACCUCUUUCAGCACCGACGAAGCGCAAGUGACGGUAGGUGCAGAAGAAGGACCGGCCAACUACGUGCCAGCCGCCGCAGUAA